UACAGAGGUCCCAAGCGUUGUUCGGAAUCACUGGGCGUAAAGGGAGCGUAGGCGGCGUGGUAAGUCAGAUGUGAAAUCCCGGGGCUCAACCCCGGAACUGCAUCCGAUACUGCCGUGCUUGAGGGUUGGAGAGGUAGCUGGAAUUAUCGGUGUAGCAGUGAAAUGCGUGGAUAUCGAUAGGAACACUCGUGGCGAAGGCGAGCUACUGGACAACAUCUGACGCUGAGGCUCGAAGGCCAGGGGAGCAAAAGGG
Molecule: ribosomal RNA, 253 nt
Filed under: uncultured bacterium
Lineage: Bacteria
Description: partial 16S ribosomal RNA
Rfam family: Bacterial small subunit ribosomal RNA
Source: RNAcentral